CCUCAUUUUUUAGGAAGGAACCACAUGUGAAACCACUUACCUGUUUAACCCUAUGAACUUGAAGAGAACAUGUAAUGCCACUUAAAAUACCUAAGCUCGGGUUCUGCCUUCAGCGACUCCUGGUAGUAGUGCCCUUAUGAGCCAUUUAUCAAGAAGAAACCAGGGCACUUGGAAUGUUUUGAGGGAGGCAGAUCUGUCCCCGUCAUGGAGCACUGACUACCAUCUUCCCUGAACUCUUACGUGAGGAAGAACAAACCUCUAAGGUUGUACAAGAAGCAUGGUACCAGCACCUGCUUCUGGUGAGGCCUCAGGCUGUGAUAGGAUCGCAUUCUGUCACCCAGUCUGGAGUGCAAUGGCAUGACCUUGGCUCACUGCAGCCUCGAUCUCCCAGCCUCAAUCAAUCCUUUCACCUCAGCCUCCUGAGUAGCUUGAACUACAGCUGAGGAUGCUAUGAAAACCCCUUGAGGAAACAAAGGCACCUUGGGGGCCAUUGAGAACUCCUGACGAAGAGGGCUCAGCUGCCAGACCUGCUCAAGAAAGACCUCAGAAAUCUCUAUGGGGCUGUCAGAAGAAAAGGUUUGAAAAGGGUCUGGAGAGACUGAAAUUUGUCUGCCUUGGACUUUUCUUUUGACAAUUCACAUCCAACUUAAGCAGAAUCAUUGUUUAUUCUUAUUAUGCCAGGUUUCCUUUUCUGGUCUGCAGGUUCUCUAGGGUUUCAUAGGCUAGUAGUUGGAAUUUUCAUAUUUCCAAAGCAUUGGGGAUUUUGCAAAAACAAAAUCUAAAGGAUAUUCAGCAGCACAGUUUACUUAGGAGGUUUUAAUCAUAAUAAUCUGCAUAAUGUAUGAGAAUUUCUACCUCAGCUGCCUCCUUUCUUUCUCUUUCGUGUCUGGGAAAAAGCCAGGGAUUUUUCCCUUCCUCUGAUUUAAAUACCUUAUAAAAUUUUGGUGGAAGCAUUUUGUCCUAUUCUGUCUUCCUGAUUCAUUUUCUGCUGUAAUGAGCAAAAUUAAUUUGCAAGAGCUGCUACUGACAUAGUGUAAUAAACUGGGUCAUAGGUAGAAUCAGUGCCGCCUUAUGACCCUUAGCUGUCAUUGCUUUAAGGAAUUUGGCAUGGUCCUCGAAGGCCAGAAGGCAAUGUGGGUUGCAUCCUACAGCUUUUGAGAUCUCAGAGACUUACUGCACCCAUGGCUGGGAAUGAACUGUAAAUGCUGACACUGGUAACUAGGUGCCAAACUGAAGUGAUCACAACCUAAUCUGAGCCAAAAGGCAUUUCUUUGCAUCAGGCAUAAAGCAACAUCAAACUCCCAUAACCCACACACAACACAGAAAUCAUUACUGAAGAGAUUCAACAUCAUCAUGCCAGACACUAAGUGAGUUAUUUCUCUCCUUCCCUGUCUCACCACAGUUUCCUCCCACUUGGUCACACAUGGUAAGCAUUCAUGUGUGCGAAGGCAUUUUAUGCCUUCGACCUAACCCCGACCACAGUCCCCUAGUCUUAUCAGAGAUCUGCACUCCCCACCAUUUGAGCACGAUGGAGUGCAUAUUUCCAGUGCAAAAAGACUGAUAUCAUUAUGAUUUUCAUUAACUAGUUGCCAGCUUGCAUUCUUUUUUCUCCCUUUUUUUCUCUCUCAACAGCACUUCUGUCCUCAGCCCAACCCCAGCCAGAAAAGGUGUUGCUACAUUCAGUGAAAAAUUAUUAUUAGUAUAGACAUGAAAUUUGAUGAUAAUGUAGAUUGUUUUGUGUCAUCUGCAGGCUGUCACAAUACACUCUGCAUCACUGAAAUGUGUUGACCAGAAGGAUGAUGGUGUUGUCAUGAUACUGAGGUCUUUUAAUUAAUUACUUUGUGACUUUCAUAGCAUUUAGAAAACGGAGAACAGGGUAUUUUCUUGAACAGCCUAGCCAAAUGAAAAACUGGUUACUAAUGUAUGUUAUCUUCAUGAAUGAAGGCAUAAAAUAAUAAAAACAAACAAAUUAAAAAUUGUUAAUAAAUUAAUA
RNAcentral lists this long non-coding RNA (1993 nucleotides) under Homo sapiens (human). RNAcentral describes it as "long non-coding RNA NONHSAT200701.1". The record is from RNAcentral. Lineage: Eukaryota; Metazoa; Chordata; Mammalia; Primates; Hominidae.